UACGAAGGGGGCUAGCGUUGCUCGGAAUCACUGGGCGUAAAGGGUGCGUAGGCGGGUCUUUAAGUCAGAGGUGAAAUCCUGGAGCUCAACUCCAGAACUGCCUUUGAUACUGAGGAUCUUGAGUUCGGGAGAGGUGAGUGGAACUGCGAGUGUAGAGGUGAAAGUCGUAGAUAUUCGCAAGAACACCAGUGGCGAAGGCGGCCACCUGGACAGUAACUGACGCUGAGGCGCGAAAGCGUGGGUAGCAAACAGG
Molecule: ribosomal RNA, 253 nt
Filed under: uncultured bacterium
Lineage: Bacteria
Description: partial 16S ribosomal RNA
Rfam family: Bacterial small subunit ribosomal RNA
Source: RNAcentral